GCGCCAGACUCCUACGGGAGGCAGCAGUGGGGAAUAUUGCACAAUGGGGGAAACCCUGAUGCAGCGACGCCGCGUGAGUGAAGAAGUAUUUCGGUAUGUAAAGCUCUAUCAGCAGGGAAGAAAAUGACGGUACCUGACUAAGAAGCCCCGGCUAACUACGUGCCAGCAGCCGCGGUAAUACGUAGGGGGCAAGCGUUAUCCGGAUUUACUGGGUGUAAAGGGAGCGUAGACGGCCAGACAAGUCUGAAGUGAAAAUCCAGCGCUUAACGUUGGAAGUGCUUUGGAAACUGCCGGGCUAGAGUGCAGGAGGGGCAGGCGGAAUUCCUAGUGUAGCGGUGAAAUGCGUAGAUAUCAGGAGGAACACCGGCGGCGAAGGCGGCCUGCUGGACCGUAACUGACGUUGAGGCUCGAAAGCGUGGGGAGCGAACAGGAUUAGAUACCCGGGUA
Molecule: ribosomal RNA, 447 nt
Filed under: uncultured bacterium
Lineage: Bacteria
Description: bacterial SSU rRNA
Rfam family: Bacterial small subunit ribosomal RNA
Source: RNAcentral